Molecule: non-coding RNA, 424 nt
Organism: Pelodiscus sinensis (Chinese soft-shelled turtle)
Lineage: Eukaryota; Metazoa; Chordata; Testudines; Trionychidae
Source: RefSeq, a predicted model, not a curated record
UGUGUCUAUAACAAACAAAAAACCCAAAGAAAAUAAAAGCACGGAAAGGGCAGAGUGGUAAUUCCUUACAACUGCAAUUAGGAUGAAGUCCAUGUCAUCUCUAGUUGCUGGAGAGAGACUGCUUGCUGUUCUCAGACUUUGGUAGCAGCUCCACUGACUGGCUCCAAUCUGAAGAGGAACUGGUUUUUGUGUGAAGUGGCCCCUUGGCUCCAGCGUUCUUUUUGUGGCAAGAUCAACAAGAUUUCAUAACCACCUUGUGUCAGGAACCUACUGACAGACACAAUGACUGAGUUCUUGAUUUGCUUUAACUGGUGCAUUGGAGAGCAACCCCAGCCAAAGAGACGUCGGAGACUAGACCGAAAUAUGAUAGGAGAACCUAUGAACUUUGUCCACACUGCCCAUGUUGGAACAAGAGAUAUGAAUG